This 428-nucleotide unclassified non-coding RNA is filed under the name soil metagenome. RNAcentral's name for it is "partial contains 5.8S ribosomal RNA, internal transcribed spacer 2, and large subunit ribosomal RNA". The stretch from base 1 to 120 matches the Rfam family "5.8S ribosomal RNA", at positions 35 to 154 of the family's 154-position model. The record is from RNAcentral.
GAUGAAGAACGUAGUGAAAUGCGAUACGUAAUGUGAAUUGCAGAAUUCAGUGAAUCAUCGAAUCUUUGAACGCAUAUUGCGCUCUUUGGUAUUCCGAAGAGCAUGCUUGUUUGAGUAUCAGUAAACACCUCAAAGACUUCAAUUUGUUUUGAAUGGCUUUGGACUUGAGCAAUCCCAACACCAGUCUUUACGAUCGGUGGAGGGUUGCUUGAAAUGCAGGUGCAGCUGGACAUUCUCCUGAGCUAAAAGCAUAUUUAUUUAGUCCCGUCAAACGGAUUAUUACUUUUGCUGCAGCUAACAUAAAGGGAGUUUGACCGUAUUGGCUGACUGAUGCAGGAUUUCACAAGGGUCGGCAACGAUUCUUGUAAAACUCGACCUCAAAUCAAGUAAGACUACCCGCUGAACUUAAGCAUAUCAAUAAGCGGAGA